UAAAAAACCCUCUGAUACGGGAAUCCUAGU
Molecule: non-coding RNA, 30 nt
Filed under: Mus musculus (house mouse)
Lineage: Eukaryota; Metazoa; Chordata; Mammalia; Rodentia; Muridae
Source: RNAcentral